UUCUGUGGUCAUGUCACCUGACAAACUCAAACAGGACAAUUUUCACAAGCAGGUGACUUACUUAGACAUCAGUGCCCGUCUUACUAUAAGGCUUUCAGUUAAUAAAAACUAGACAUUGGUGUCGGAGUUUUUUUCCGCUCAAGCCUCUCAUUUCAGUGAGUAAAUGAAAGGACGGCGACUCAGCAAGGUGUUACAGACGUGUGUAAACAGUAUUGAACUCCUGAAAUAUUAUUCAUCACGUGACCAACGUGAAUACGGGACUGACGCACGUUACAUGGAGUGACUUGAGUGCUGGCCAAACACACACCUCCACUGCCAGAGAUUCUCCCUGGCUCGCUGACAAGAGAUACGGAAACUUCCACUUAUGGAAGACGCCAAGUUCCGAGUCACACAGAGGAGUAUAUGCCGGAUGAAAGUCAAAGCAGCUUAUUGUCUCAUCACCCUGAACAGGAAGAGGAGCAGUUUCUGUUGGGCAAUGCUGUAACAAAAACGUUAUUAUCUUUGGUAUUGUGUAGUCAUUAUGUCAUUAUUCUAUAAUAAUUUGCACACUAUGCUCUGUCGACUUCUUUCCUUUGCAAGCUGAUGGCCUCAAGUUCUUUACUGUCCAUGUUUAUUCACUCACGGUGCUGGAAUCACAGAAGUUCCUCAUAUCAACUGGUACCAACAGUCAUGUAACACGAAAGUUGCUGCUGCUGCCACUUUUUCACAAAGACCUUUUUCAAAAUAAUCCUUGACAUGAGUCUUUUUCUAUGUUUGUGAUGUGCAUUUUCUAGACUAAAUUCUAAUUAAAUACAACGCUUAUUACUCGCAAAAUCUUCUACAUUUAAGUUGUGUCCAUUGUUUAAUUGUUUGGUCCUCCUGGAUUGUUUAUACAGCUCCCCAAAAAAUACUGAUCCAACAUUCUCGCCUGAAAUUCUAUUUUAUAUUUAACCAAAAUGUUUAGAGAAUAGUUGCUGUAAAAUUCCACCUUUCGUUUCAUAUUACAGAGCUUUGAGACAUUCUAAGUAAAUUCAAAUUUCUCUUCGUUGUUGAGAAACAUGUUGUUCAGGUAUAAAUUAGUCAUAUGUGGAAGUUGGUAUGUCGUCAUCGCAGUUCAGUUAG
Molecule: long non-coding RNA, 1101 nt
Organism: Pomacea canaliculata
Lineage: Eukaryota; Metazoa; Mollusca; Gastropoda; Architaenioglossa; Ampullariidae
Exons: 3
Source: RefSeq, a predicted model, not a curated record